Amphimedon queenslandica is the source of this 147-nucleotide long non-coding RNA. RefSeq lists it as uncharacterized. Lineage: Eukaryota; Metazoa; Porifera; Demospongiae; Haplosclerida; Niphatidae. The record is from RefSeq and is a predicted model, not a curated record. The transcript is spliced from 2 exons.
AAUUAAUAAAUACAGUGGACAAGGAUAUGUGAGUGGAUUUCAAGAUGGAGUCAAAGCUUCAAUGAAGAGAGGAGAAGAAAAAGGAGAGAAAUAUGCAUAUAAGAGAUACCACGAGUCAUCAAAAUAAGAAUAAAGAAAACAGAAAAA